UAAAGUAAACAGCAGGGGAGAAAACAUGAUCACAAAGGUGAUUUUCCCAACGUCAGUCUUAUCCAUUACACUACAGAUGUACUGACCCUUGAGAUUUCCCCAAAUGUGGGAAAUUUGACUGCAUAAUUUCAGGUAGUGGGGAACUGUCUUCAUGCUCUCCCUAU
Molecule: small nuclear RNA, 164 nt
Filed under: Neotoma lepida (desert woodrat)
Lineage: Eukaryota; Metazoa; Chordata; Mammalia; Rodentia; Cricetidae
Description: U1 spliceosomal RNA
Rfam family: U1 spliceosomal RNA
About the family: U1 is a small nuclear RNA (snRNA) component of the spliceosome (involved in pre-mRNA splicing). Its 5' end forms complementary base pairs with the 5' splice junction, thus defining the 5' donor site of an intron.
Source: Rfam by way of RNAcentral